AUCCAGCUAAUGAGUCUCAAACAGGAUGAAACGCGCGUCUUGCAU
Schistosoma mattheei is the source of this 45-nucleotide non-coding RNA. The record is from Rfam. Lineage: Eukaryota; Metazoa; Platyhelminthes; Trematoda; Strigeidida; Schistosomatidae.